AACGUAGGAGACGAACGUUAUCCGGAGUUACUGGGCGUAAAGGGCGUGUAGGCGGUUUGUUAAGUCAGGGGUGAAAUCCUGGAGCUCAACUCCAGAACUGCCUUUGAUACUGGGGAUCUCGAGUCCGGGAGAGGUGAGUGGAACUGCGAGUGUAGAGGUGAAAUUCGUAGAUAUUCGCAAGAACACCAGUGGCGAAGGCGGCUCACUGGCCCGGUACUGACGCUGAGGUGCGAAAGCGUGGGGAGCAAACAGG
RNAcentral lists this ribosomal RNA (253 nucleotides) under uncultured bacterium. RNAcentral's name for it is "partial 16S ribosomal RNA". It matches the Rfam family "Bacterial small subunit ribosomal RNA", at positions 524 to 776 of the family's 1533-position model. The record is from RNAcentral.